CUGAAGCUUUUCUGGCUCUGAGGCCCCUUUCAGAUCACAGGUACUGUUGCAAUUGAUUUUUUUUCAUCAGUUUAAAGAUAAGCAGGUUUUGAGUGUGCAUAAAAUGCACAGUUGAGUUCAAUGAAGCUCCCUUCAGCAGUAAGAACCCAGCUGUGUUCAGUCACUAGCUCUAAUUAUCUUGUUGUGUUCUCAGAUAUGAAGUAAGCCUAUAGAGUGAGCUGACGUAGGUCCACUGCUUUGAGAUACUGCACAAUUAGUUCCAGCAGUUCUCCGUCGUAAACAGAGUUUGAUUAAGUUUCCUGGUGUUGAUGUACUCACCGCGGGGCGCUCCAUCUUUCAUCCCCGCCUCAGGUUCCUGUCACACAUCAGCCAGAGAGGAGACUGAGGUUCACCGAUCCACCAUGGCCGAACUUAUCUCCGAGCAGAUAAUUCCACUGAGAGGACGGUAUUAUGUUUCCCAAAACCAGCUCACAGCCGUGGAAUCCUGGUUGAUGCGCUUCUCAGGUGGCCGUCGUAUUGCUCGAAUGGAUUUCAAGCGUCGAUGUGGAACGAUUCCUUUGAGAAAGGUAUCCAUUCAAAUGAGGGUAAAGUCAUCAAGCUUCUGCAGCUGUCCUUAGAUCUUUGCUGUUUCAUUCUCGAUCGCAUGUGCUGCGUAUGUUUCAAGGAUAAGAAACUCUCGAGGAUGAUGUUCUUUCUCAGUAUGGAGAAGUGUUUCUCUCUAUUGUUGCUCGAGGACUGCGAGAUGCAGCUUUUUCUCCUGCUCACCAGUUGUCAAUCGGUAUAAAUCAAGUUGAUUUUCUCGCAUUUGCUAAAACUCGUCGGAUGUAUUUACACCCACCUUGUCUGGUUUUGGGGGUGUCUGCCUGCUGGCGUGGUGCGCUGGUGAUUU
Xyrichtys novacula (pearly razorfish) is the source of this 889-nucleotide non-coding RNA. The record is from the annotation of a GenBank genome assembly. NCBI's taxonomy places the organism in Eukaryota, Metazoa, Chordata, Actinopteri, Labriformes, Labridae.